Molecule: non-coding RNA, 77 nt
Organism: Podarcis lilfordi (Lilford's wall lizard)
Lineage: Eukaryota; Metazoa; Chordata; Lepidosauria; Squamata; Lacertidae
Source: the annotation of a GenBank genome assembly
GCUCUGGGAUAGCUCAGUCAGUAGAGAGCACGAGACUCUUAACCUCAGGGUUGUGGGUUCGAAUCCCACGUUGGGCA